GCGAGUGUGGUAUAGUGGUUUGAGUAUCGGACCCCGAUUCUGGAGAUCAGGGUUCAAUUCCCUGCUUGGCCA
Phrynosoma platyrhinos (Desert horned lizard) is the source of this 72-nucleotide non-coding RNA. The record is from the annotation of a GenBank genome assembly. NCBI's taxonomy places the organism in Eukaryota, Metazoa, Chordata, Lepidosauria, Squamata, Phrynosomatidae.